This 326-nucleotide ribosomal RNA is filed under the name uncultured eukaryote. RNAcentral describes it as "partial 18S ribosomal RNA". It matches the Rfam family "Eukaryotic small subunit ribosomal RNA", at positions 1470 to 1796 of the family's 1831-position model. The record is from RNAcentral.
CCCUUAGACGUUCUGGGCCGCACGCGCGCUACACUGACCAGUGCAACAAGCAUCCGUCCUUGGCCGACAGGCCCGGGCAAUCUUUGAACGCUGGUCGUGAUGGGGAUAGACUUUUGCAAUUUUUGGUCUUCAACGAGGAAUUCCUAGUAAACGCAAGUCAUCAACUUGCAUUGAUUACGUCCCUGCCCUUUGUACACACCGCCCGUCGCACCUACCGAUUGAAUGGUCCGGUGAAGACUCGGGAUCGUGGCUUAGUUGCUUAAUUGUGAUUAGACCGUGAGAACCUGUCUAAACCUUAUCAUUUAGAGGAAGGUGAAGUCGUAACA